GUACCCUCAAGCUAUGCUUGGUGUUGGGUGUUUGUCCUAUCCAUUGCGACUGGACUCGCCUUAAAGAUAUUGGCAGCCGGCAUUUUGGCCUUGGAGCGCAGCACAAUUUGCGAGUCCAAGUCGGAAUACUGACGUCCAGAUAAGCUUUUUACCAC
RNAcentral lists this unclassified non-coding RNA (155 nucleotides) under uncultured Shiraia. Its description in RNAcentral is "sequence contains ITS2". The record is from RNAcentral. Lineage: Eukaryota; Fungi; Ascomycota; Dothideomycetes; Pleosporales.